UAGGGAAUCUUCGGCAAUGGACGAAAGUCUGACCGAGCAACGCCGCGUGAGUGAAGAAGGUUUUCGGUAUCGUAAAACUACUGUUGGUAGAGAAGAACGUUGGUGAGAGUGGAAAGCUCAUCAAGUGACGGUAACUACCCAGAAAGGGACGGCUAACUACGUGCCAG
RNAcentral lists this ribosomal RNA (167 nucleotides) under uncultured bacterium. RNAcentral's name for it is "partial 16S ribosomal RNA". It matches the Rfam family "Bacterial small subunit ribosomal RNA", at positions 355 to 511 of the family's 1533-position model. The record is from RNAcentral.